RNAcentral lists this ribosomal RNA (467 nucleotides) under uncultured bacterium. RNAcentral describes it as "partial 16S ribosomal RNA". It matches the Rfam family "Bacterial small subunit ribosomal RNA", at positions 28 to 507 of the family's 1533-position model. The record is from RNAcentral.
GACGAACGCUGGCGGCGUGCUUAACACAUGCAAGUCGAACGGAAAGGCCUCUUUCGGGGGGUACUCGAGUGGCGAACGGGUGAGUAACACGUGAGUACCCUGCUCUUGUCUUUGGGAUAACUUCAGAAAACUGGGGCUUAUACCGUAUAGGAGCUCCUGCUGCAUGGUGGGUGUUGGAAAGUUUCGGCGGUUGGGGAUGGACUCGCGUCUUAUCAGCUUGUUGGUGGGGUAGUGGCUUACCAAGGCUUUGACGGGUAGCCGGCCUGAGAGGGUGACCGGCCACAUUGGGACUGAGAUACGGCCCAGACUCCUACGGGAGGCAGCAGUGGGGAAUAUUGCACAAUGGGUGGAAGCCUGAUGCAGCAACGCCGUGUGCGGGAUGACGGCCUUCGGGUUGUAAACCGCUUUCGGUCAGGACGAAGCUUUGUGUGACGGUAGUGGGUAAAGAAGCACCGGCUAACUACGUG